UAGAAAAGAAGUGGACGUUAAUUUUAAACAAGAAGAAGGGAAAGACUCGGCUAAGGCUUGCAAGUGUUAGGAGAGCAAAAAAAAGCAAAAGGAGAUCAAGGUACGUGGAUAGUCAAUCCUUGUACUAAAAUAUUUGAGUAUGAUGUGUUGUCAUUGAAAAUGAAAUGAAAAUGAAAAUGGUGCAAGGAUAAGGCUUAUUUUGUUUUGUUUAUGUAGUAUUGCAUCUCCAUUGGGUGAUUAUAGGUUUGAUUUCGUACAACAGAGUUGUUGUUCGAUUAUUUUUUAGGUUUAAGUGAAGUUAAAGUUAUCAUUUCUUGAGGAUUUAAUGACAUUCUAAGUUUUCUUGUCAAUUUUUGAGUUUUUUUUUUCUUUCUUUCUUGAUGCUUCUGUAGUAUUUUUUUAUUGGAUAACAAAAGGAAUUAAGGUUUAUUCCUUGAUAAUUUAAAUGAUAUUCCAAACUUUCUUUCAACUCUUGAGUUAUUCAGGUUUCUGUUUUUGAUGUUCCUGUAUUUUAUCUUGUUGGAUACAAGAGAGGGAAUAAAUUUUCAUUUUUUGAUGUUCAAUUUCAUUUUCAUUUUAGGUUUUCUUGCCAUUUAUUGAGUUUGUUGGUUUCUGGUUUUAUUUUCUUUAAUUUAUUUUUGCUGAAUAACAAAAAUCUUUAUGAACAAGGGACUAUAAUCAUGGGUUUGGCUACAUAAGGUUUCGAGUUUAGGAUUUGUGUUGAUAUAGGGCUAGAAGCCCGUGCUUAAACCUUAAACACCCAAAUGGGACACCCACAUUGUCGAUUAAACUAAUAAAAUCAAGAGAUAGGUUUGAAUGUUAACGUUGGAUUGGUUGUCUGAGGUUAAACUUUAAUUCUACAGACCUACCGUUAAUCCAGGAUACAUGGUUGUCAAGUAAAUUCCGAAGGUCUGUGUUUUGUUUUCAAGCUUUGAGAUAAACAAAUGAGAGAUAAAUUAAACUUAAACCUAGUUGAUUUAAAUGUGUGAUUUUUUUCUUUCAAUGUGAACCGUUUCAUUAUUCGAGGAUUUAAAUGAUAUUUCGGGUUUUAUUUCGUUUUUUGAAUUUCCUUUAGAUCUAAAAAUGAAAAGUGUAAAAGAAAAAUAAAUGAAACCUAAAGAACCCUAAUCCUAAAUUUGGAUGAAUUUAGGAGUGAACGACAAAAGAGAUAGGUCGAACCAGUCCUCGAAAUGGCACUUGACCUGAACCAUUCCCAUCCAACACGGAGUCAAUCCUAAAAGAACCCAAAUCUUGAAUUUAAGGAUUUAGAGGUGAACAACAAAAAGGGAAGAUCAAGCAAGUCCCCGGGAUGAUACGUACUCAAUCCAACCUCCUGUCUAUUCAAUGAAGAUCCGCCAAGGAUAGCAAGAUAGUUGAUUAGUUGGGCAAAUGAAUCCUUGAUUAUUGCCUCUUGUUAUUGUGCAUUUAUAUAUACAUGGCGAGUAACAAACCCAUAACAACAUGAGUGGAGUUUUUACUCAAAAGAUAAAAAAGGAAUAAAGUAAAUUAUAAAGAAAUAUUAAUAUUAAGAUAUAAUAUUCUAAUAUUUUCUCUCAAAAUAGUGUUCGGACGUCAAGUUUGGACUUUAUCUCUAGAAAUCUUGAUAACGGUGAAGAUUUCGUGAAAUCAUCUGCUAUCUUAUCUCUUGAUAUACGUGCGACUUGCAAUUCUUCACUCUUAACUAGCUCCUGUACAAAAUUAAAAUUUAGUGACAUGAGCUUCAUCCGAGAAUGGAAUAUUUGAUUAUGCGUCAAAUGUUUAACACUUAAGGUGUCUGUCCAUAAUUGAGAACAUGCAACUUAUACUAAACUUAUUUUUUUAACAAAUUUCGUAUUCAUAUCACUUCAAUUGUUUCUUGACAGACCAAGAAACCAGAUUGUUGUCGAUAAAUAUUGCAAACCCCCCAGUACUUCGUCUAUCAUCUGUACAACCAGCUCAAUCUGCAUCCGUGUAUGUGUCUAUCCGGGAAGAAUUUGAGGGUGCAAAUAAUAUACCUUGCAAAUACCUCAAAACCUAUUUCGUAAUAGCCCAAUGAAAAAUGGUCGGGUGUUGAAGGUAUUGACAUAGCUUGUUCACUACACACGCUAUAUCUAGACGAGUGUUCACAAUUAAGAUACAGAAG
This 2122-nucleotide long non-coding RNA is filed under the name Zostera marina. RNAcentral describes it as "long non-coding RNA (ZMAR_LNC006023)". Lineage: Eukaryota; Viridiplantae; Streptophyta; Magnoliopsida; Alismatales; Zosteraceae. The record is from RNAcentral.